UUUAUGGAGAGUUUGAUCCUGGCUCAGGAUGAACGCUGGCGGCGUGCCUAAUACAUGCAAGUCGAGCGAACGGACGAGAAGCUUGCUUCUCUGAUGUUAGCGGCGGACGGGUGAGUAACACGUGGAUAACCUACCUAUAAGACUGGGAUAACUUCGGGAAACCGGAGCUAAUACCGGAUAAUAUUUUGAACCGCAUGGUUCA
RNAcentral lists this ribosomal RNA (202 nucleotides) under Staphylococcus aureus. Its description in RNAcentral is "partial 16S ribosomal RNA". It matches the Rfam family "Bacterial small subunit ribosomal RNA", at positions 1 to 197 of the family's 1533-position model. Lineage: Bacteria; Bacillati; Bacillota; Bacilli; Caryophanales; Staphylococcaceae. The record is from RNAcentral. RNAcentral also lists the same sequence under 3 other names.